AUUGAACGCUGGCGGCAUGCUUUACACAUGCAAGUCGAACGGUAACAGGUUAAGCUGACGAGUGGCGAACGGGUGAGUAAUGCAUCGGAACGUGCCCAGUCGUGGGGGAUAACGCAGCGAAAGCUGCGCUAAUACCGCAUACGAUCUGAGGAUGAAAGCGGGGGACCGUAAGGCCUCGCGCGAUCGGAGCGGCCGAUGUCAGAUUAGGUAGUUGGUGGGGUAAAGGCGCACCAAGCCAACGAUCUGUAGCUGGUCUGAGAGGACGACCAGCCACACUGGGACUGAGACACGGCCCAGACUCCUACGGGAGGCAGCAGUGGGGAAUUAUGGACAAUGGGCGAAAGCCUGAUCCAGCAAUGCAGCGUGCAGGAAGAAGGCCUUCGGGUUGUAAACUGCUUUUGUACGGAGCGAAAAGGUCUCCUCUAAUACAGGGGGCUCAUGACGGUACCGUAAGAAUAAGCACCGGCUAACUACGUGCCAGCCGCCGCGGUAA
This 493-nucleotide ribosomal RNA is filed under the name uncultured bacterium. RNAcentral describes it as "partial 16S ribosomal RNA". It matches the Rfam family "Bacterial small subunit ribosomal RNA", at positions 29 to 523 of the family's 1533-position model. The record is from RNAcentral.